This is a long non-coding RNA of Camellia sinensis, 1243 nucleotides long. RefSeq lists it as uncharacterized. NCBI's taxonomy places the organism in Eukaryota, Viridiplantae, Streptophyta, Magnoliopsida, Ericales, Theaceae. The record is from RefSeq and is a predicted model, not a curated record.
GACCCAUUUUGGAAAUAAGGGUUUUGUUCUUGUUCUUCAUCAGAUGUGCGAUUUGGAUCUCUAUAUUACUCCCAUUCGAGUGAUUUCAAUUCCUGAGCUUGUUCCAGACUGCAUUAUGCACGCAACCGUACACUGCUCUACCCGAUUCAAUUUUCACAUUUUUCUUCCCAAUUUCAAUUUCUUUGCAGAGCUAAGAUGAAAUUCGCCAAAAGAAAUCUUUUUUCGGCUUUGAUUUUGCUCAUGUCCUCUUUGAUUUAGCUGUCCUUCCCAUGGCUUCAAUGGAGUUCUAGAGAGAAAAGGUUUCAACCAAGCUGAAAUGGCUAAAUUGCUCCAGUUUCAAUCAUUAAAUUGAAAGGAAAAAAAAAAAAAAAAAAACACUAGCUCCAACAAUGAAAGUUUUUGAGAUGGUUUUGAAAAUUGCAAUAUCUACACAUUGGUGAAUUGCAGUUGGUGAUUGUUAUGUGUGCUGUCACUCCCAUUGGUGAAAAUUACAUAAGUUAUUUGUAGAUCAAUAUUAUCGGUCAAUCAAUAUACUGGGAUUUCAGAGAUCACCUUGUUGGAAGCCUUGGCACUCAGAUUGGAGCAACUCAGAGCUGUGUUAUUUAUAGCCAAUUUCGACAACAAGUUAUGGUGUUUUUUUUCCCUCUUAGAUCAUGAUCUAUGAUUUGCAUUAUCAUUUGUAGCACCCGGGGAAAAUAAUUGAACAUAUAUUUGAGCAGCAGCAGUCAAAUAAACAAGGUUAUAUCUGGGAAAGUCGAACACAUGAAGGAUUUCUUCCUUUGUCAGUUCUCUUUCAAUACAAAUUAUGUUUAUUAACAUCUUUGAACAAAUAAGUUAAAAGAGUAAAAAUCAUCAGAGGAAGCAAAAAACUUAUUAAACAUGUAAGUAAAAACCUCAUUAAACAUGUGAGUGUAAGCCUUAUCAUGCAUAAUGUUACUAUUGCCUUCUUUUAUUCCUACAUUCACUGUUUUGCUUUACUUCAUAAUGUGCUUUACAACCUUCUUUUAGGGAUCAUCAAGAGCAUCUCUCAGACUGAAUGUUGAUACCAAACGUGAGAUAUCAGGAGGAAGAAUAGCCUCGCAGAUUUCAAGACUACCAUUUGCUUUGACGAAUAUUUUUGUUGCUGAUGAUGACUUCCUUGGGUGCUUGUGUUUUGGAUGGAACACCUGAUUCUUCUUCAGUCAGCAUACUUGAUAAACUUUGGCAGAACUGGUCAUCAUGGUCUGAUGGUCAAUAUAAUUGG